CAGUCGCCGCGGGAACACGAGGGGUGCAAGCGUUACUCGGAAUUACUGGGCGUAAAGCGUGCGUAGGUGGUGGUUUAAGUCCGUUGUGAAAGCCCUGGGCUCAACCUGGGAAUUGCAGUGGAUACUGGGUCACUAGAGUGUGGUAGAGGAUAGUGGAAUUUCCGGUGUAGCAGUGAAAUGCGUAGAGAUCGGAAGGAACAUCUGUGGCGAAGGCGACUAUCUGGGCCAACACUGACACUGAGGCACGAAAGCGUGGGGAGCAAACAGGAUUAGAUACCCCCGUAGUCCCUGUCUCUUAUAC
RNAcentral lists this ribosomal RNA (301 nucleotides) under uncultured bacterium. RNAcentral's name for it is "partial 16S ribosomal RNA". It matches the Rfam family "Bacterial small subunit ribosomal RNA", at positions 509 to 807 of the family's 1533-position model. The record is from RNAcentral.